This is a non-coding RNA of Poecilia reticulata (guppy), 6236 nucleotides long. Lineage: Eukaryota; Metazoa; Chordata; Actinopteri; Cyprinodontiformes; Poeciliidae. The record is from RefSeq and is a predicted model, not a curated record.
GCUGCUGGUACGUUCAGUGUAAUUAUUAAACUCCUAAAACCUGCAUUUGUUAUUAUAAUUAAAACUAUUAUCUGGUUCUGGAGCUGCAGGUUCAGAAACCUGGAUUAGAGCCUCAGACUUUAAUGAUGUCGAUCAUAAAAAUACCUUUUUGUUAAUAAUUCAUGUUAAAAUAAUGUUAUUCAGAUUUAUUUGCUUUGCGUUGUCUUCAGCCCCUUUUACUCUGAUUCCAGUAAAUAAACUCCAGUCCAGCCAGUUUCCAGUUUGCUUCCUGGUGUCGGUUAUUGACCCAGUGGCCCGGUUUCCAGCAGCUGCUGGUUGCUAGGUAACCACCAUCCAGCCACAGGGUUGAUGCUUCAUCAGAUCCAUGUCAGAAUUAUGAAUUAAUCAGACAUUUUGUUUUUAUCUGUUUGGUUUUCUACAUCACUUCCUGUUUCUUCACUUAAACUUUAAACUCAGAGCUUUUAGCUGAUUAAACCACUGAGAUGUAACCGGUGAUCGGACGUGUUUCGGGUCAGAACCAGCUUUGACCCGGUCAGCUCUGACUCCGCCCCCUGUUCCCCAGUCAGCUCUGACUCCGCCCCCUGUUCCCCAGUCAGCUCCGACUCCGCCCCCUGAUCUCUGGUCAGCUCUGACUCCGCCCCCUGAUCUCUGGUCAGCUCUGACUCCGCCCCCUGAUCUCUGGUCAGCUCUGACUCCGCCCCCUGUGACCCGGUCAGCUCUGACUCCGCCCCUCUGCUCUGUCUGCAGCUGCUGAACCUCUUCCUGGCUCUGCUCCUCAGCAGCUUCAGCUCCGACAACCUUUCUGCCCCAGAUGAAGACGGGGAGAUGAACAACCUCCAGAUCGCCAUCCACCGGAUCACUCUGGGCCUGGCCUGGUGCCGCCGACAGGUGGUGGACUUCUUCAACGGGAACCUGAAGCGCCGCCGGCAGAAACGAAAAGAGGCCAAAGCCAUGAUGAAGCUGAAACGGCUGAGCACCGUCCACACUGAGGCCAACGGCGCCGUGAUCGGCCGCCAUGUGGAGAAGUACGUGGUUCCGGAGGACGACAGCUACAUGACCAACCCCAACCUGACCAUCAGCGUUCCCAUCGCCCCCGGAGAGUCCGACGUGGAGUUUCCGGAGGAAGAGGAGGAGGAGGAAGAGGAGGAGUGUCAGGAGGAGCAGAGCGAGGGGUCCGAGGCAGACGAGGAGAGAGAGGAGGAGCAGAAAGAAGAAAUCAGCCUCUCAGAGGGCAGCACAGUGGACCUGAGGAAGCCUGGCGAGGAAGAGGACGAGUACUCAGAGCUGGCCGAAGAGGCCAUGGACCCGGACAACUGCUUCCCUGACGUGUGCGUGUCCCGGUUCCGGUGCUGCGACAUCGACACCACGGCGGGUCUGGGCCAGAUGUGGUGGAGAACGAGGAAGACCUGCUACCAGAUCGUAGAGCACAGCUGGUUCGAGUCCUUCAUCAUCUUCAUGAUCCUUCUCAGCUCGGGAGCUCUGGCCUUCGAGGACAUCUACAUCGAGCAGAGAAGGGUCGUCAAGGUGGUGCUCGAAUAUGCUGACAAGAUCUUCACCUACAUCUUCAUCCUGGAGAUGGCGCUGAAGUGGCUCGCAUACGGCUUCAAGAAGUACUUCACCAACUACUGGUGCUGGCUGGACUUCCUCAUCGUCGAUGUUUCAUUGGUCAGUCUGGUGGCCAACACGUUGGGUUACUCCGACCUGGCAGCCAUCAAGUCCCUGCGGACGCUGCGGGCCCUGCGGCCCCUCAGGGCCCUGUCCAGAUUUGAAGGCAUGAGGGUGGUGGUGAACGCCCUGAUCGGCGCCAUCCCCUCCAUCAUGAACGUGCUGCUGGUCUGCCUGAUCUUCUGGCUCAUCUUCAGCAUCAUGGGCGUCAACCUUUUCGCCGGGAAGUUCGGCCGCUGCGUCAACCGGACCGGCUUCGUGUACGACGCCUCGCUCAUCAACAACAAGUCCGAGUGCGACGCCGCCAACGACACCUCGCAGCACUACUGGACCAAGGUCAAGGUCAACUUCGACAACGUCGGCGCCGGAUACCUGGCUCUGCUGCAAGUGGCCACCUUUAAGGGCUGGAUGGACAUCAUGUACGCCGCCGUGGACUCCAGAGCCGUGGAGGAGCAGCCGAUCAAGGAGAUCAACCUCUACAUGUACCUGUACUUCGUCAUCUUCAUCAUCUUCGGCUCCUUCUUCACCCUCAACCUCUUCAUCGGAGUCAUCAUCGACAACUUCAACCAGCAGAAACGAAAGUUAGGAGGGCAGGACAUCUUCAUGACGGAGGAGCAGAAGAAAUAUUACAACGCCAUGAAGAAACUGGGAUCCAAGAAGCCGCAGAAGCCCAUCCCCCGACCUCUGAACGACCUGCAGGGCUUCUUCUUCGACCUGGUGGGGAAGCAGGCCUUCGACAUCAUCAUCAUGGUUCUGAUCCUCCUCAACAUGAUCACCAUGAUGGUGGAGACGGACGAGCAGUCGCCGCAGAUGGAGAAGAUGCUCUACUACGUCAACCUGGCCUUCAUCGUCAUCUUCACCACCGAGUGCAGCAUCAAGAUCAUGGCGCUGCGCUGCUACUUCUUCACCGUCGGCUGGAACAUCUUCGACUUCGUGGUCGUCAUCCUCUCCAUCGUCGGAAUCGUUCUGGCCGACAUCAUUGAGAAAUACUUUGUGUCGCCGACUCUCUUCAGAGUAAUCCGCCUGGCCCGGAUCGGGCGAAUCCUGCGCCUCAUCAGAGGAGCCAAGGGCAUUCGGACGUUACUGUUCGCCCUCAUGAUGUCGCUUCCUGCCCUCUUCAACAUCGGGCUGCUCCUCUUCCUCGUCAUGUUCAUCUACGCCAUCUUCGGCAUGGCUAACUUCGCCUACGUGAAGCGGCAGGGGGGCAUCGACGACAUGUUUAACUUUGAGACGUUUGGGAACAGCAUGCUGUGCUUGUUCCAGAUCACCACGUCUGCAGGGUGGGACAGCCUGCUCAACCCCAUCCUCAACAACUCCCCCGAGGAGUGCGACCCCCACCUCCCCCACACCGGCACCACCGUCAAGGGCAACUGYGGGAACCCGUCGGUGGGCAUCACCUUCUUCGUCACCUACAUCAUCAUCUCCUUCCUCAUCGUGGUCAACAUGUACAUCGCCAUCAUCCUGGAGAACUUCAGCGUGGCCACGGAGGAAAGCACCGAGCCGCUGAGCGAGGACGACUUCGAGAUGUUUUACGAGGUUUGGGAGAAGUUCGACCCAGAAGCCACGCAGUUCAUAGAGUACUCCAAACUGUCGGACUUUGCAGACUCUCUUCUGGAGCCUCUCCGCAUCAGCAAGCCCAACAAGAUCAAGCUGAUCUCCAUGGACCUGCCCAUGGUCAGCGGAGACAAGAUCCAUUGCCUGGACAUCCUGUUCGCCUUCACCAAGCGCGUCCUGGGCGAGUCGGGCGAGAUGGACGCCCUCAAGCAGCAGAUGGAGGAGAAGUUCAUGAUUUCAAACCCUUCCAAGAUUUCSUACGAGCCGAUCACCACAACUCUGCGGCGCAAGCAGGAAGAAGUGUCGGCCACCAUCAUCCAGAGGUGCUAUCGGCGCCACCUGGUGAGGCGCCAGGUGAAGGCCGCCUCCUACAUGUACCGCCAGUUCACCACGCCCCGGCACGACCACAGCGAGGGCGAGGAGGGAGGCGAGGUGAUGUUUGGGGAGGACGCGCCUGAGAAGGAAGGGCUAAUAGCCACCAUGAUGAAGGAGAACUACGGGUCCAGUCUGCUGGGGGUGGAGCGCUCCUCCACCAUGUCCUCCGCCUCAUCGCCGCCGUCCUACAACAGCGUGACGCGAGCCGAACACCUUCAUCCGCUCGCUGCCAAGACAGAAACGGCCGAUGAAAGCGACGUGAGAGAACAGUCGCAGGCUGAAGCCAACAGAGAGACGGAAACAGAACCUUAGCAGGAACCCAAAAAGAACAAGUUCUGAUUUUUACUGAAUGUACCGAAGGAUCGUCGGAUCAGCUGGGAGUGACAGUCGGAUGCUGAAGAGAGGAAGAUUUACUACCUUUAGUCUUGUUCCCCGGUGGAGACGCAAAGAAAAACCAUUUUCUGAAAACGGAUUCUGAAGAACCGCCAACAGACGGAGGCUUCAUCUGAGACGUCAACCCAGAGCAAAACACCAGAAUAAGGAGCUCGGUUCUGUUGGUUCUGUUGUGUCGGACUCUGACCCGGUCAGACCGGUUAUAUCAUUUAUCGCCCCGGGAUCGGGAGGGUCCGCCUCCUUACCGGCUACCGGCCGAAGGAUCGGCGRAUCCCGUCUGCGUUUCGACAGCUGAAGGGUUUUCUGGACAGCAAUGCUAUUCAAAAGACCUUUUCGUAGUAAAAGUAUAACGUUGUUGAUGUUCCAAGUCUUUUAAUAUCGGUACAAUUAUUACUAUUUUUUAUAUUUUUUAGAGUAAGUUAAAAAUAAGCCUUCGGAGUGGCGCUCGCUGAAACGAACCGUCUGAUGGAAACCCGAAAACAAAAAGACUUUAUCUUUUUAUUUUCUUUUUGGGCGUUUUUUGCACUUUUGAGUUUAYAUUUAGCGUCACUUUACUGCGCCGUCGGUAAACGUUGGGUUGCAUUUCUCCUGCUCUGACACCAAAAACUGAACGAAUGCACAAAUGGAUCUCAAAUUCCCGAUUCGCCUCGGUGAUGAACGUCCUGAURAGCCCCGACCCGCCAGCGCUGGGUGAUCUGCCAAAGAGUUCACCGAAGAUUUUACCGAUCUGCAUGAGGAGACGAUGGCAGCGGCUCGUUCGUUGCCGAGGUAACCGAUGAUGGAAGCCUCUGUCAGAUUUGGCUGACGUCAUCAGGUGGCCUGAUGGGAAACGAUCYGAACUUUAGGAUCCGUCUUUCUGGCUGAUCACCCGUCGUCAUUAACUUUGUGUCGGUCUGAGUUCGGCUCGAUGCGACGUUUCGUGGUUCCGGUUCCGACCCGGUUGAGAGCUCAGGAUUUUACUGCAUUCAGUCUGAGAGGAAGCUGGAUGUUGAUCUCAUGGUGGCGCUGCCAGCAGCGUCCAGGAGAAACUCUGGCUCCGUUUCUUUAUUCGCUUGUUAUUUAUUUUCCAAGCCAGAUUUUUAGCUCUUAUAGAUUUUAGCUCUUCAAUGCAACAUUUUCUACAAGAAGCUUCAGGUUUGAUAUGUAAGUUUGAAACAGAAACACUUUGUCUCUGCACAAGCAUCUGGAGCCGCUGACUGUUGAAAGUCUGAAGUCAUCUUUAAGUCCAGGAUGUUUCUACCUUUUAGGACGUUCAGUUGAUUUUCCUGUCAGGAUAAUGAUCCAGUUUGUGGGUUGGGCUGUAAAAUCCUCUCUGCUGAUGCCGAGCAGCUUCAGCUGCAGGUUGAAUCCAUUGAUGCUCAAACUUCACUGAACUAAACACUCAAUCUUACCAAACAUGUUGUAGUAAAAAUGUCAAAGUUCUUGAAAUAAGGUAAAACUAACAAGUCCAUUUUCAUCCAGAUAAACCAGCUUGUGUCCAGUAAAUAAAUGACCUAAAACAAGUUAUUAUAUCCUUCUGAAAUGUUACUUUUAAAUUAGUUUUGCUUUAUUUCAAGAGUGCAAAGAUAUUUGAACAACAAACUGGACAAAAAUACUUUAAUGAUUUGUGUUUUUGGAGUUUUGUGGGAUCAGUUUGGGUUUGCUGGUYGUGAAGGAAGAAUCAACGCUGAAGAACUGGACGCCGUCCCACAGCAGUGUGUGACCUCAGCUUCAAGCACCAAACCAGAGGUAAUUCCAGAUGGACUGUCUGGUUUUGGCACAGAGGAUUUGGUUGGUUUUUCUGGGCCAGAACCCAAAAACUCGACUGCUGCUCAACCCAUACAUCCGUUUCCUCACWGAUACGAAACCAUCUAAAGAUUUUAUCACCAAAAAGCAUCAUUAGAAAACAGAAAUGACCAAAAAACACAAAUUUAUUUACCUUUUCUGCUGAGAUAUCAGAGCARAAACCCAAAACAUUCGAUCAAACCUUCUCAGGGGAACAGAACUGCUGUUUGGUCGGUUUGGACCAGUUUGGACGGUUUUUACCAGUUUGGUCUCUUUUGGUUCAGUUUGAUCCAGUUUUGUUUGGUUUGGUCCGGUUCGGUCCGGUUUGGGUCGGUUCCUCAUUACAGAGACGCCUGAAUGAAGCCGGUCUGGAGCGGAUGCUUGUGCCGAGGCAUAAACAGGCGGGUUGGUUGGUUCUCCUGGUUCUGCUCGGGUCCAGAACCCGAGCAGAACCAGGAACUGGGCUGCAGGUUUUCCUUGGAGUC